GACGAACGCUGGCGGCGUGCUUAACACAUGCAAGUCGAACGAUGAAGCGGGUGCUUGCACUCGUGGAUUAGUGGCGAACGGGCGAGUAACACGUGAGUAACCUGUCCUUUUCUUUGGGAUAACGGCUGGAAACGGCUGCUAAUACUGGAUAUUCAGGCUGCAUCGCAUGGUGUGGUUUGGAAAGGUUUUUUCUGGGAUUGGGUGGGCUCGCGGCCUAUCAGCUUGUUGGUGGGGUGAUGGCUUACCAAGGCUUUGACGGGUAGCCGACCUGAGAGGGUGGUCGGUCGCACUGGGACUGAGAUACGGCCCAGACUCCUACGGGAGGCAGCAGUGGGGAAUAUUGCACAAUGGACGAAAGUUUGAUGCAGCGACGCCGCGUGGAGGGUGUAGGCCUUCGGGUUGUGAACUCCUUUUUCUCGCGAAAAAGGCACAGUUUUGGCUGUGUUGAUGGUAGUGGGGGAAGAAGCGCCGGCUAACUACGUG
Molecule: ribosomal RNA, 483 nt
Filed under: uncultured bacterium
Lineage: Bacteria
Description: partial 16S ribosomal RNA
Rfam family: Bacterial small subunit ribosomal RNA
Source: RNAcentral